Molecule: ribosomal RNA, 327 nt
Filed under: uncultured archaeon
Lineage: Archaea
Description: bacterial SSU rRNA
Rfam family: Archaeal small subunit ribosomal RNA
Source: RNAcentral
UCUGCAAGUCUCCGGUUAAAUCCACCUGCUCAACAGAUGGGCCGCUGGAGAUACUACAGAGCUAGGGAGUGGGAGAGGCAGACGGUAUUCGGGGGGUAGGGGUAAAAUCCUCUGAUCCUCUGAGGACCACCAGUGGCGAAGGCGGUCUGCCAGAACACGUUCGACGGUGAGGGAUGAAAGCUGGGGGAGCAAACCGGAUUAGAUACCCGGGUAGUCCCAGCUGUAAACGAUGCAAACUCGGUGAAGCGUUGGUUUUUUGCCAACGCUGUGCUGCAGGGAAGCCGUUAAGUUUGCCGCCUGGGAAGUACGGACGCAAGUCUGAAACUU